Molecule: ribosomal RNA, 253 nt
Filed under: uncultured bacterium
Lineage: Bacteria
Description: partial 16S ribosomal RNA
Rfam family: Bacterial small subunit ribosomal RNA
Source: RNAcentral
UACGUAGGGCGCAAGCGUUGUCCGGAAUUAUUGGGCGUAAAGAGCUCGUAGGUGGUUUGUCGCGUUGUUCGUGAAAACUCACAGCUUAACUGUGGGCGUGCGGGCGAUACGGGCAGACUGGAGUACUGCAGGGGAGACUGGAAUUCCUGGUGUAGCGGUGAAAUGCGCAGAUAUCAGGAAGAACACCCGUGGCGAAGGCGGCUCUCUGGGACGGUACUGACGCUGAGACGCGAAAGCGUGGGGAGCGAACAGG